Molecule: non-coding RNA, 3885 nt
Organism: Taeniopygia guttata (zebra finch)
Lineage: Eukaryota; Metazoa; Chordata; Aves; Passeriformes; Estrildidae
Source: RefSeq, a predicted model, not a curated record
UGGAAAUGUGGCAUCACUAUUCUAAACUCUUUAUUUAUAAUAUCUUUCUUUCCUAUUUCUUUUUCCUUUUCUUAUUUGCAGGUCUUUUGUGGAAUAUCCAUUAUUUAAUUUCUUUCAUUCUGCUUUUUUUCCCCAAAUGUUUUUUAAAUAAAGCUCUUUUCUUGUUUCUGCACUGUAGGUCAAGACUAGAAGCAGCAAUGAUGCUUCUCUUUUUUCUAGUACAGAUAUAUACUUGUGAAGACUCAUAAAGAACUUUAAUACCAAUAAGCACAAGUAAAACUUGUUGACUGCACAGGAGGUAAAUUUGCAGACAGAGUGAAAACAUAAACAAUUGUUAUCAUUGUUCCAAAUCAAAAAAAGGUCAGCCCUAUGUGAAAAGUUUAUAGGCAACACACAUCACAAAAGUACCUUGAAAUGUUAGAAGUUAACAGCCAGAUCUUCAGCUUUAAAAAAAUGGUUUAAUGGUUUUAACACCACUGAUAUUGCUGGAGAUAUGGCAAUCCAUACCAGACUGUCCUGGCCUUCUGAUUUUUAUUCUGCAUUUUACACAUAAUUUUUGUCAUCAAUCUCCAUUUAUAUCAAUGACAAUGCAUAUUUCACACAGUCAGAAGUAGACAAAGAGGUGCAUUCAUUGUUAUAACUGAUAAAUUAGUGUCUUUGUUCAAACAACUUGCAUUUACAUUCACUGUUAGAGAAGGAAAAGCUUCUUAAAAAUUUAUAAGCUGACUAUGCAGGUUAGCUUAAAUGUGCAGUCAUACAGUGUUGACUCAGAGUUAUAUUUAGGAGUGCUUUGCAAAACUAAUGGAAAGUAGAGCAUUUGUUCAACAUCACAGACUUGCAAAUGCUUGAGCUAAAUAUAUGGUGAGCAUUCAGUCACAGGCUCAAACAGUGUGCUCUGAGUGCUUUCUGUGCAUUGACUGGUCUAAUUUUGGACAUAAUUUUGUGUUUUAUUCAAAACCAGACAAGGAUGUGAGGAAAACAUGGCCCUAUGGGAUACAGAAAAAAACUGAAACAUAAAGCAAGCUUAACGCUCUGCUUCACUUUGUGUGCCUUAUACAGCCACUUCUGGAAAGAGCACUCAGCUACCCAGGAUCAAGUUCUCUCUGAGCUGCCUGUGAGAUACCUCCAAAAGUUAUACUGGGCAUCCCCAGCCCAUCUGACAGCAAAAGGAUUUUAGUUUAUCAAUUAUUUGUUCAGAAGCCUCCCCCAGUUCUUAGCAAACUGGGACCUGGACUUUCAAACCCAGAGAUGUAUUGUCUGAGUAAAUGUGUAAUUCAUGUGUGUAAAUGCACAGAGUACUCACAUAAAUCAGUUGCUCUCAUCCACGGGUGACCAGACAGCUGCUUAACUGGCCAUGUUCCCCUACAAAUACCUUAUUUAGAGACAAGAAUUAGGCCUCCGUGAUAUAUGGAAGUCAUUGUAUGCCCUUAAACUGAUUAAUGGGAAAAUUCUUUUUCACCCUUUAUUUGUUUCAUGUUCUCCCAUCUCCCUCUAACCUGUCCCAGGACAUAAAACACUCUGAAAUGACCACCCAGUCUUUCAGAUUAUAAAUUCCUCUGGGUGGGAGAAUUUGCUUUAAAUGUUUUCUCCUGUGAGCCUGUUGUACUCUCCUGUGCUAGGGAAGUGCUUGAGUGCAUGCCUGUAGCUCUCAGCAGGAGCAGUGUCCAGGGGCCAGAAAAGCACAUGCCAGCCCCCCACCUGUCUGCAGAGGUGCUGUGCAGCCUGCAGACAACCACUGGUGCUGGAGGUGUCCUGGGGAGCUCGGUCCUCAGAGGUUGUGGUGGUACAUGCUGAGCUUGUGCUGACAACAAAGACAAUAUUUGAGCUCUUCCUCACCCUUUGUAAAGGGUCCUUCUGUCACAGUGCACUGUUGAGGUAGAGGCCCAUGCAUUCUUGUUAAUUGAUUUCAGCUGGGAAUAACAUUUAGCCAGAUCUAACCAAUCUUUUUAAACAUGACCAACUAAUACCUGUCCAUUUAGCACAUCAAGUAGCUUUAAAGCCAUUGAAGACUGAGAUGAGUCCAGCUUCAGAUGUUACUUGAAAAUGAGUGAUCAGUCCUGCCUGGGCACAUGAUUUUUCUGAUAUGUCAUGAGAAUGGCUGCAGAGUCCUUUUUGAAUUGGUUAUUUAGCCAGUGACUUGCUGGCAUCUGAAUCUGCCCAAUUUCUAAUGAAUAAUUUAAACCAUGGGAAGCAGAAAGUGUGACUGAAUUAAAAUACAAAAAAAAGCUUGAAAAUGCUUUCAUGGUCCUUUUUCUUGCUUAAAACUUGAUGAUCAAACAAGAAAAAAUUGUAGCUUAUGAUCACUUCACACUGUACAAGGAAGCAGCAGAGUUGCAAUGUUGAGCUCACUGGGUUUAUUCACUUUAAAUGGCAUCUCUUUGUAGCCAGUCAGGACAAAGCUAUAGACAUUAACAAGAAAAUAUUAAACAUUAAUUUUGUGUGUUUUCACUUGUCUUCAGAGAAUCAUUCUGUAAGCAUUUUAUCUUGCCAGAUAGAUUAUAUUCCACCACUGUGUAUGAAUUACCUGCUGCUCACCUAUUAAUCCUGCUUUUCUGUUUCCUUUUCAGCCAGUCUGAGAGGUGCAGAGAUUCCGAGUCCAGAGCAAUGUUGGAAUACAAUGUUGGAGUGUUUUCUGAAGUUAAUAAUAGGAUCAUCAGGAAGACCUGUAAGCUGUUUCCUGACAGGAGAUUGAAAGAGAAGAGAAAAUGAGCUGUUAACAAGAAUGCUGCCUGCUGUCUGACUUGUCCUAAUUCAUGAAGGGACAUAAAGCUUAGACAAAAAUUUAUGGUGCCUUAAUCCUGGGAAUGACUCAGUUGUUUAACAGCAUGUUUGUGUCCACACAAGCAUAGCAUCUGGGCUGAACCAGAGCAUCCACUGGAGCACUUCCAUGGGUGGAUAGGGGCUCUUCAGGAAUGACCAUCCAGGGGGAUGGAGUGAGUUCUGUCUGAUGGCAGCAGGGAUGCACAGAGCUCUGCCCUGGAAUGGAUGAGGACACAGCUCAGAACUUGCAAGUUCAGAUCAGCAGGAGUAAUAAUGUGGGUGUUUUUUGAGCAGGGUACCUGCUGCUGCCAGACUGACCAGGAAGAACAGAUGAACCUUUCUGCAGACAGCUGGAAAAAGUCCCCUGGUCCUCACAGGGGCCUCCAACCACUGAUACCUGCUGGAAAAGACACAACAAACCACAAGUGAUCUGGGAGGUUCCUGCAGCAGAGGGACAAUGCUGCAGAAUUCCUGACAUGGGUGGUAGAAAAGCCAACAAAGUGAAACACUCUGACAGACAUUAUACUUACCAACAUGAACGUUGUGGGCAGGCUUGGCUUCAGCGACCAUGAGCUGUGGUAUUCAGUGUCCUGAGAGGUGGGAGAAGUGCCAAGAUUAGUAUCACAAUUCUGAACUUCAGAACAGACUUUGUAUUUUUCAAAGACCUAUUUGGGAUAAUCCCAUGGAACAUGUCCCAGAAUAGAUGAGCAGUCCUUGAAAGCUGGCUGAUUUUCAAGAUCACAUCCUCCAAGCUAGAAAAUGAUCCAGUCUGACAAGCAGGAAAGCAAUCCAAAGUGGCAGAAGGGCUUCAUGGAUAAACAAGAAGACCAAGGAAGCCUUAUCCCCACUGAAGAGGUGGGGCAGAGAAUAACUAAAAAAAUCGUGCAUGCACAAAUCCUUGGACCUUAAGGAAUUUGAGGGAAUCUCCCUAUAGAAAGAGGAUUCUGUGUUCUGAGCAGUUCUUUCACCUUUUUGUGAUGUAUGAAUGUAGUUUUUUCCUUCUGAAAAAAAAAAUCUACUGAAAGCCAAUUUACUCUUCUCAGUAUAACCACUUCUCUAACCUUGCAAACACAUUUCAUAGCUGCAAGGUGAUAGCAUACUGUUCAGAGCUCAGCUUAAAACAAA